This is a non-coding RNA of Manis javanica (Malayan pangolin), 1393 nucleotides long. Lineage: Eukaryota; Metazoa; Chordata; Mammalia; Pholidota; Manidae. The record is from RefSeq and is a predicted model, not a curated record.
GGGAGACCAGCGCACAAUGUAGAAUCUUAGAGCUGCCCGGGCUCUGGUGGUGCUGCCCUCGCACUGGUACCGGGGCCCCAGGGAGAGGUGGAUGCACGGGAGCCAGGUUCAGAAGGGUUCUUGAAAAGCCCCCUGGCUGAAGAAACAGAGGCAUCAGACAGUGUUGACGGAGGUCAUGAUUCUGUCAUUUUGGAUCCAGAGAGACUUGAGCCCAGGCUGGAUGAGGAGGACACGGACUUUGAGGAGGAAGACAGCAGUCCUAACUGGGUGUCAGAACUGAAGCGGCGAGCUGGCUGGCAGGGACCGUCUGAUGGAAUGAAGAGGAGGAAACUGGAUAUUGUUCCUGAUUAGGACCAUGAGGUUUAAAAAUUGACAACUAUUGUUCUUGAACUCAGAGGAGAAGGUAGGGCCCAGGGGGCGUGGGCUUCGGGCCUGUGGUCUGAACAGAACCCGGAUGCUGCGGCUUAGUGUCUGCGGAAUCUCAGGGAACCACUAACCUCUUUGAGCCGAAUUCCCUCCCCUCUGCAACGAGGAUGCCAAAGCUGCCUCCCUGGCCACUAGAGCCGCCAUGAUGUUACUGUUUGAGUUACGAUCUGUGUUUCUUACUGUGUAGCUCUUUUUACAUUUCCUAAAGGUUUCAGGGCCUAAAAAUAUUUAAUUGUAACUAAUGAUGUGAUUUUUCAGUAAGACCUGCUUCUGGGUAGUGACCAGUGAUCUGCAGUGACCUUCAGUUCCCAGCCAUCCUUAGAUACAGCCCCCCACGGAUGCACGUGCCAGCCACGGGAAGGGUGGAGUGGGCUGCAGGACUUGUCCAAAGUUAGCAGGCCGGUUAUAGGAGAAAAGAAGAGGCCAAAGGACCUGGGCAUUUUUGAGGAGUGCUGGUGGAAUCUCUCCGUUUGGUUUGUCUGGUAUUGUUCUUAUAAAGGAGGCAGAGCUAAAUGAAGGGCCUUGGGAAGGAAUGUCGCCGGGAGCGGAGCCUUCCCGUCUGCCUGUGACUGCUGCUGGCCUUGUCGUUAAGGCAGCGCCUGCCGGUUUUCCUAAUAAGAUGAAAGUCACGUGACUCUCUAGCAUCUUACUGUGCUGAUGGACAGUGACUGUAAUGGGGUGUGUGGUGGGGACUUGGUGAUGGGGGGAAUCUAGUAACCACAGUGUUGCUCGUGUGAUUGUAUAUUAAUGAUACCAAAAGAAAAAAAACACUAAAAGGCUGGGGAACCAUUGUUUUAAAGAGGCUGAGAAACUGAUCUUUUUUCCAGUUUUUUUUUUGUGGCAAAAUACACAUGACAUAAAAUUUACCAUCUUAACCAUUUUGUAAGUGUUCAGUACAGUGGCUUUAAGCACAUUCACAUUGGUGUGUGGCCAUCCCCACCAUCCUCAUCUCCCCAAACUGAAACCA